GACGAACGCUGGCGGCGUGCCUAAUACAUGCAAGUGGGACGCAAGGACACACACUGUGCUUGCACACCGUGUUUUCUUGAGUCGCGAACGGGUGAGUAACGCGUAGGUAACCUGCCUAUUAGCGGGGGAUAACUAUUGGAAACGAUAGCUAAUACCGCAUAAUAUUAAUUAUUGCAUGAUAAUUGAUUGAAAGAUGCAAGCGCAUCACUAGUAGAUGGACCUGCGUUGUAUUAGCUAGUUGGUAAGGUAAGAGCUUACCAAGGCGACGAUACAUAGCCGACCUGAGAGGGUGAUCGGCCACACUGGGACUGAGACACGGCCCAGACUCCUACGGGAGGCAGCAGUAGGGAAUCUUCGGCAAUGGACGAAAGUCUGACCGAGCAACGCCGCGUGAGUGAAGAAGGUUUUCGGAUCGUAAAGCUCUGUUGUAAGUCAAGAACGUGUGUGAGAGUGGAAAGUUCACACAGUGACGGUAGCUUACCAGAAAGGGACGGCUAACUACGUG
Molecule: ribosomal RNA, 505 nt
Filed under: uncultured bacterium
Lineage: Bacteria
Description: partial 16S ribosomal RNA
Rfam family: Bacterial small subunit ribosomal RNA
Source: RNAcentral